RNAcentral lists this ribosomal RNA (250 nucleotides) under uncultured bacterium. Its description in RNAcentral is "partial 16S ribosomal RNA". It matches the Rfam family "Bacterial small subunit ribosomal RNA", at positions 524 to 773 of the family's 1533-position model. The record is from RNAcentral.
UACGGAGGGUGCAAGCGUUAAUCGGAAUUACUGGGCGUAAAGCGUGCGUAGGUGGUUUGUUAAGUUAGCUGUGAAAUUCCUGGGCUUAACCUGGGCUGGUCAGCUAAUACUGAUGAACUGGAGUAUGGGAGAGGGUAGUGGAAUUUCCGGUGUAGCGGUGAAAUGCGUAGAGAUCGGAAGGAACACCAGUGGCGAAGGCGGCUACCUGGCCUAAUACUGACACUGAGGCACGAAAGCGUGGGGAGCAAAC